AGCAGCCGCGGUAAUUCCAGCUCCAAUAGCGUAUAUUAAAGUUGUUGCAGUUAAAAGCUCGUAGUUGAAUUUCGGGAUUGACGUGAUGGUCGUGCCUUACGGGGUAUGAACUGUUGCUGUUGAUUUCUCGCCUUCUGGAGAAACUUGAUGUCCUUAAUUGGGUGUCUUGCGGAUCCAGGACCUUUACCUUGAAAAAUUGAGUGUUUAAAGCAGGCAUUUUGCUCGAAUACAUUAGCAUGGAAUAAUAGAAUAGGACGGCAUGGUUCUAUUUUGUUGGUUUCUAGGAUCACCGUAAUGAUUAAUAGGGAUAGUUGGGGGCAUUAGUAUUCAAUUGUCAGAGGUGAAAUUCUUGGAUUUAUUGAAGACUAACUACUGCGAAAGCAUUUGCCAAGGNUGUUUUCAUUAAUCAAGAACGAAAGUUAGGGGAUCGAAGACGAUCAGAUACCGUCGUAGUCUUAACCAUAAACUAUGCCGACUAGG
This 480-nucleotide unclassified non-coding RNA is filed under the name uncultured Diversispora. RNAcentral describes it as "SSU rRNA". It matches the Rfam family "Eukaryotic small subunit ribosomal RNA", at positions 569 to 1050 of the family's 1831-position model. The record is from RNAcentral. Lineage: Eukaryota; Fungi; Glomeromycota; Glomeromycetes; Diversisporales; Diversisporaceae.